Molecule: non-coding RNA, 2018 nt
Organism: Musa acuminata subsp. malaccensis (wild Malaysian banana)
Lineage: Eukaryota; Viridiplantae; Streptophyta; Magnoliopsida; Zingiberales; Musaceae
Source: RefSeq, a predicted model, not a curated record
AUCACGCCAAUCUCGCUCGCUAGCCUGUUUCCUUCCGACUCUCACGAAGCGCUUCCCAGAACCUCUUCGUCUCGCUCCCUCGAUCGCUCUCCGUUUGGAGUAAUCUCGAAGGCUGUCGUAUCCCGGAUUCGAAUCCCCUGCUUCCGCUCACCCUCUAGGAUCGAAGCAACAUCCCCUUCGUUUGCUCUUGAACGCCGGUUGAUCGGGCACGACGGAGGGUUUCUAGGGUUUCGACCGCGUGGUUCGUGUCGAGCUCUGGAGGGUUUUGUUGGUGAUUUAAGGUCUGGUCUAGGAGGACGAGAGGCGGAGGAGGGAGGGGGUGAUGAGGUUGAACGGGGAAAUCUCGUACCUACGAAAUGAGGAGGAGAAUGAGAACGAUAGCGUCGCCCUGAUAUCGCUUCCGCCGCCGCCGCCGCCGACGCUGGAGAAGCUCGUCGUGGGGUAUGCUCUGACCUCCAAGAAGGUCAAGAGCUUCUUGCAGCCGAAGCUGGAAGGGUUGGCAAAGAAGAAAGGAAUUGUAUUUGUUGCCAUUGACCAGAGCCAACCACUUGUAGACCAAGGUCCUUUUGACAUUGUUCUUCACAAGUUGACUGGAAAAGAGUGGCAACAAAUUCUGCAGGAUUAUUGGGAAAAACAUCCAGAAGUUACUGUCCUUGAUCCACCUGCUGCCAUACAACAUCUGUACAAUCGCCAAUCAAUGCUCCAGGAUGUAGCUAAUUUGAAUUUGUCUGACUGCUAUGGUAAAGUUGGCACUCCUAGGCAGCUAGUUAUCACCAAAGACCCAUCAUCAAUUCCAGAUGCAGUUAGCAAGGCUAGGUUAACUCUUCCAUUAGUUGCGAAACCCUUAGUGGUUGAUGGAAGUGCAAAGUCACAUGAAUUAUCACUUGCCUAUGAUGAGUUCUCCUUAUCAAAGCUUGAUCCUCCCUUGGUUCUCCAAGAGUUUGUUAAUCAUGGCGGUGUUCUCUUUAAGGUCUAUAUUGUUGGAGAGGCAAUAAAGGUUGUUCGUCGAUUUUCCCUUCCUGAUGUUAGUAAGCGCGAACUCUUGAACAAUACUGGUGUCUUUCGGUUCCCCAGGGUUUCUUGUGCUGCAGCAUCUGCAGAUGAUGCAGACCUGGACCCUAGUAUUGCUGAACUUCCUCCAAGGCCAUUGCUUGAGAAGCUCGCUAGGGAGCUCCGUCUUCGAUUGGGUCUUCGAUUAUUCAACAUAGAUAUAAUCAGAGAGCACGGAACAAGGGACCGGUUUUAUGUCAUUGAUAUCAAUUAUUUUCCUGGUUAUAGUAAAAUGCCAGGCUAUGAACACAUAUUUACCGACUUCCUUCUGAGCGUGGUACAGAGCAAGUUCAAAAGGCUACUAAGUAGCAACUGAUCAUCUAGCUUGAGGAUGCUGCUCGACGGCACGAAGCACUUGCCGGAUACCUGAACCGGGGGGAGCCGAGUCCCAACCAGAUGCUCAAUGUAUAUAAGCUCGGAGACCCACAAUAAUCUGGAGCUUUAUUCCGAGAUGGUGGCAUUUAUUGUGCAGAUAAGUGCUACUGCUUCCCUCUUCUCUGGUUACUGAUUCAUGUGAUAAGCAAGCCUUCUGUGAAAGUCUAAUCACACCCCCACCAAAACACCCCUCCUCUUUUAUCUUUUGUGGUUCGUUCCUUGUUCAUGUUCUAAUGGAUGAUCAAUGUAAUUCCAGUUUCCGAACAGUGUGCUUUGUGGAGUGAGGAAUCAAAUCUACAACAAGACUGUGAUGUGACAGUGGCGAAAUAAAAAGAAAGAAAGAAGAAGCUUAUUCUAAUGACACAAGUUGACGUGACUGUCCGCUCUUCCAAUCGAGUAGGACUCGGUCACCUCCAUAGAUAAAGCCGAAGCAUAAAGAUCAGUCACUGUGAUCCCCCAACCCUCCAUCUGUAGACCUCAAUUUGUCCUUAUUCCUAAAUGUAUGCAAAUACUUAUGUUACGUGGGCCCGACACUUCACGUGGGUACGGCCCACCAAAUAGUUCUCCAUGAAUUAGUGGGUUCGUGUCGUGUA